Molecule: non-coding RNA, 31 nt
Filed under: Mus musculus (house mouse)
Lineage: Eukaryota; Metazoa; Chordata; Mammalia; Rodentia; Muridae
Source: RNAcentral
UACGGAGCAUAUAAUGAUGGCUGCUGGAAUU